UGAGCUUGAUCCUGGCUCAGGAUGAACGCUAGCGGCAGGCUUAACACAUGCAAGUCGAGGGGUAUAGUUCUUCGGGACUAGAGACCGGCGCACGGGUGCGUAACGCGUAUGCAAUCUACCUUUUACAGAGGGAUAGCCCAGAGAAAUUUGGAUUAAUACCUCAUAGCAUAGCAGCUUCGCAUGAAGCCACUAUUAAAGUCACAACGGUAAAAGAUGAGCAUGCGUCCCAUUAGCUAGUUGGUAAGGUAACGGCUUACCAAGGCUACGAUGGGUAGGGGUCCUGAGAGGGAGAUCCCCCACACUGGUACUGAGACACGGACCAGACUCCUACGGGAGGCAGCAGUGAGGAAUAUUGGACAAUGGGCGCAAGCCUGAUCCAGCCAUGCCGCGUGCAGGAUGACGGUCCUAUGGAUUGUAAACUGCUUUUGUACGAGAAGAAACACUCCUAUGUAUAGGAGCUGACGGUAUCG
This 470-nucleotide ribosomal RNA is filed under the name Flavobacterium sp. 01WB04.3-73. RNAcentral describes it as "bacterial SSU rRNA". It matches the Rfam family "Bacterial small subunit ribosomal RNA", at positions 1 to 480 of the family's 1533-position model. Lineage: Bacteria; Pseudomonadati; Bacteroidota; Flavobacteriia; Flavobacteriales; Flavobacteriaceae. The record is from RNAcentral.